GCUCUGGGGCUGCCAUUGCUGGGAUGGUGCUGGUUCUUCCGCUGUUUGUGUCUUGUUUGUGCUCGUCGGGCCUUUUGCUGAGACUUCUGGUGGUUGCGCCCACGUGGGCUUGGUCUUCGUCUGUGGUGUUGUUGUGUGUCGGGAUCCUGUGGACGCCUGCCUUCUGGUCAUUCUUCGGUUUGUCUUUCUCAUUUCUCGGCCUGCUAUGCAGGGUGGGGUGUCUUCUGUGAGUCAGUCGGCUGUUCGUUUUCUGUGCUGGGGUCUUGAGGACGCUGGAGGCUCUCAUUGCGUAUGGUGCCGCUUUGUAUUCUGGGUUCUCUCUUGGUUUAGCCGUGUCUUUGCCCUUCAGUGAUUGUUGUGCGUUUGU
RNAcentral lists this long non-coding RNA (367 nucleotides) under Androctonus crassicauda. Lineage: Eukaryota; Metazoa; Arthropoda; Arachnida; Scorpiones; Buthidae. The record is from RNAcentral.